This 514-nucleotide ribosomal RNA is filed under the name Taophila joliveti. RNAcentral's name for it is "partial 12S ribosomal RNA". The record is from RNAcentral. Lineage: Eukaryota; Metazoa; Arthropoda; Insecta; Coleoptera; Chrysomelidae.
UGCGGUUAUACAAGAAUCACUAUUAUUUUUUUUUGGUUAUAAUAUUUAGUCAGUAAGGUUUUAUUUUUAUGUUGAUAUAAUAUUGGGUGAAAUCCUAUUUUUUAUUUAAUUUAAUUUUUGUUUAUGAAACUAAGAAAUCUAGGUUUUAAACUGGGAUUAGAUACCCCAUUAUUCUAGGCAUAGAGAAUUUUUACCUGAUUAAUAUUAGUUAUGUUCUUUAAAAUCAAUAAAUUUGGCGGUAUUUUAUUCCGAUCAGGGGAAUCUGUCCUGUAAUCGAUAAUCCACGAUUAUUAAAACUUAUUUUUGUUUGUAUAUCGUCGUUGUUAAUUAUUUUCAGAAUUAUAUAAUUUUGUUAUUUUAUUUUAUUUAAAAUCAGAUCAAGGUGCAGCUUUAUGUAAGUAGAGAUGGAUUACAAUAAAUUUAUUUUAGGAUUAACUUUUUAAUUAGGGUUGUGAAUUUGGAUUUGAAUGUAAUUUUGAUUAUUAAUCGAAGUGAAUUAGGCUCUAAAGUGUGU